This 368-nucleotide ribosomal RNA is filed under the name uncultured bacterium. RNAcentral's name for it is "bacterial SSU rRNA". It matches the Rfam family "Bacterial small subunit ribosomal RNA", at positions 71 to 422 of the family's 1533-position model. The record is from RNAcentral.
AAGUUUCCUUCGGGAAGCGAGUAGAGCGGCGAACGGGUGAGUACAACGUAGGUAACCUACCCCCGAGACUGGGAUAACUUGUCGAAAGACGGGCUAAUACCGGAUAAGACCACGAAGGCUGCGGCCUUUGCGGUAAAAGGUGGCCUCUGCUUGCAAGCUACCACUCGAGGAGGGGCCUGCGCGCCAUUAGCUAGUUGGUGAGGUAACGGCUCACCAAGGCGAAGAUGGCUAGCUGGUCUGAGAGGAUGGCCAGCCACACUGGGACUGAGACACGGCCCAGACUCCUACGGGAGGCAGCAGUGGGGAAUAUUGCGCAAUGGGCGAAAGCCUGACGCAGCGACGCCGCGUGGGUGAUGAAGGCCUUCGGG